RNAcentral lists this ribosomal RNA (484 nucleotides) under uncultured bacterium. RNAcentral describes it as "partial 16S ribosomal RNA". It matches the Rfam family "Bacterial small subunit ribosomal RNA", at positions 30 to 507 of the family's 1533-position model. The record is from RNAcentral.
AUUGAACGCUGGCGGCAGGCCUAACACAUGCAAGUCGAGCGGAUGAAGGGAGCUUGCUCCUGGAUUCAGCGGCGGACGGGUGAGUAAUGCCUAGGAAUCUGCCUGGUAGUGGGGGAUAACGUCCGGAAACGGGCGCUAAUACCGCAUACGUCCUGAGGGAGAAAGUGGGGGAUCUUCGGACCUCACGCUAUCAGAUGAGCCUAGGUCGGAUUAGCUAGUUGGUGGGGUAAAGGCCUACCAAGGCGACGAUCCGUAACUGGUCUGAGAGGAUGAUCAGUCACACUGGAACUGAGACACGGUCCAGACUCCUACGGGAGGCAGCAGUGGGGAAUAUUGGACAAUGGGCGAAAGCCUGAUCCAGCCAUGCCGCGUGUGUGAAGAAGGUCUUCGGAUUGUAAAGCACUUUAAGUUGUGAGGAAGAGCAGUAAGUUAAUACCUUGCUGUUUUGACGUUACCAACAGAAUAAGCACCGGCUAACUUCGUG